RNAcentral lists this long non-coding RNA (700 nucleotides) under Marmota monax (woodchuck). Lineage: Eukaryota; Metazoa; Chordata; Mammalia; Rodentia; Sciuridae. The record is from RNAcentral.
AUGGAUUUUAAGAGACUUAAAAAUACAAAAUAAAACAUUUUAUACAUAUCCUUCUGUUAACCACUGGCAAUAUUCUUGAUUCCUUCCUUAAAUAUGGAAUCAUUUUCAUUUAGCCUGAAAAAUGCUCUUUGACAUUUUUAUGGAGCAGGAUUCUGGUGGAAUUUUUGUUUCAUUUAAUAAAAAUUUCUGUCAUAAUUUUUCUUCACUGAAAAAUAACAUUUCUACCAGAUAAAGAAUUUCAAGUUGAGAGCAUUUUACUUUCAGUACUUCAAAGAUAUCAUUCUAAUGCAUUUGACUAUAAAUCAGUGGUCACUUUUAUCUAUGACCACUACAUUACAUAACAAUAUGUCUUUUUUUUUACUCCUUAUACUUCUCAUGAUUAGUUUUCAGCAUUUUGAUUAUAACAUGUCUUAGAGUGAUUUUCUUAUUUCUUUGUGAGAUUUUUUUGAGCUUCUGGCAUCUUCAGUAGCAUUUUUAGUAUUCAUCAUAUUUAGAUAGACUUCAGGCAUUAUUAAUGUAAAUCUUGUAUCCUUCACCUCCCACCUGAACCAUUCUGAGACAGCAAUUACCCUUUGAAUAGAAAACUACUUAAUGUCUCAGAGGUCACAGAACUUUUCCACACCCCCCAUCUUUUUUUUUAAAUAUAACUAUGUUUCAGUUUGAAUAGCUCUAAUGUUCUUGUCUUCAAGUCCAUAUCUUU